GACGAACCGUGCGAACGUUGCUCGGAAUCACUGGCGUAAGGGCGUGUAGGCGGUAGAUAAGUCGGCGUGAAUCCUAGGCUCAACCUAGGAACUGCACUCGAAACUGUUUAUCUUGAGUGCCGGAGAGGAAAGCGGAAUUCCUGGUGUAGAGGUGAAAUUCGUAGAUAUCAGGAGGAACACCAGUGGCGAAGGCGGCUUUCUGGACGGUAACUGACGCU
This 218-nucleotide ribosomal RNA is filed under the name uncultured bacterium. Its description in RNAcentral is "partial 16S ribosomal RNA". It matches the Rfam family "Bacterial small subunit ribosomal RNA", at positions 524 to 747 of the family's 1533-position model. The record is from RNAcentral.